GAGGUUGCUGCUCAGUAGUAAAGCACCUGCAUUGAAUGCAGAGGGCCCUGGGUUCAAAUCCUAGCAUGUCUCU
Molecule: transfer RNA, 73 nt
Filed under: Sphaerodactylus townsendi
Lineage: Eukaryota; Metazoa; Chordata; Lepidosauria; Squamata; Sphaerodactylidae
Description: tRNA-Ser
Rfam family: tRNA (bases 10-64)
About the family: Transfer RNA (tRNA) molecules are approximately 80 nucleotides in length.
Source: RNAcentral